AACAAACUGCCUCUUACAUGCUGGGCAAGCCCCCUGCCAAAUUUUGAUAUAAAAGGCCAGCGAACCACUGUAGUUAUUUAUUGUCAAUAAGAAACUGAUAGAAGUUGAUGCAAAAAGCAGCUCAACAGAACACAUGCACAUAUGGGUUGAUUCUAUCUCUAUCUUGACUCAAAUUAAAGCUCUAUAGUCUGGCCAUCUUGUGUAGCCUACUUAAGGCACCUUAUUCUUGUAACAAAAAUAGAAAAACCAAACAAUUUCAGCUUAAACUUGCCUAGGGACACAUUUGAAAACCAACAAAAAAGCUCAUCUAAUUCUGACAGCGAUGAUGAUGUUAUACCUUAAGGACAAGAUUAUUUGUUGCUGUCCUAAUGAGAAGAGGUGCAGCAAAUGG
RNAcentral lists this unclassified non-coding RNA (391 nucleotides) under Hevea brasiliensis (rubber tree). The record is from RNAcentral. Lineage: Eukaryota; Viridiplantae; Streptophyta; Magnoliopsida; Malpighiales; Euphorbiaceae.